GCUCUCAGCCUUUCUUUCCCUCACCAUUGCUCUCAGCCUUACUCUGACUCACUAUCAAUCCCCCUCACCCUCAAUCCAGUUCACCCUUUCACCCUCGUCAAGCCUCUAUCUCACUCACUCUCGCUCUCACUCACACUCGAUACACUCUCAGUGGGCUGUCUCCGUCGACCGAGACUCACCCUCGUUCUUCUUGGUUUAAAUCUUCUGGGUUUCAUAACUCAAUUUGUUCUUAAAGACCUUUCUAUUUCUCUCCGUUCCAAUUCAAGACCCUUUUGAUUCUUCCUCACCUUUUGUCGCCACUGUUGCUCUAAAACUUUGAUGGCUUUUUGACUUGAGGGGGC
RNAcentral lists this long non-coding RNA (341 nucleotides) under Rosa chinensis. RNAcentral's name for it is "sRNA RchiOBHm_Chr5g0065801". The record is from RNAcentral. Lineage: Eukaryota; Viridiplantae; Streptophyta; Magnoliopsida; Rosales; Rosaceae.